GCUGGCCUUCUUCUUUCUCUUUCUUUCCUUCUUUUUUCUCGCUUUCUUUCUUUCGCUUCUUCGACGGAAGACGAGUCGUGAUUGUGGACACGCCCCUUCCGCCAGACUGACGGGCCGGCGGGCCAAUGGGAGCGCACAGCACGAGUCGUGAUUGUGGACACGCCCCUUCCGCCAGACUGACGGCCGGCGGGCCAAUGGGAGCGCACAGCUGAAGUGAAAAAGUCAACCCAAAUGAAGGCAUCGACGACGCAAUCAUCAUCACAGCAUCGUCGUCACCCCCCACCCCUCCCUGCAAAGAUCAGGAGCCCCGCAUCCCGCCACCCGAAGCGGCACCGUUUGGGCCCGGGAUCCAAUCGCGACGCGGCGGGCCGCCUUUCGCUUCCCUGGCGCCGCAAAGUCUUUUAUGAACAUUUGGAGGACAGAACAGAAGAACAGCCGUGCAGCUAACCUUUCAAAAUAAAAGCCCGCCAGGUGCAAUAAAUAUGAGUGAACAUGAACAAAAAAAAAAAAGAGCAGAUCCAGCCAGAAAAGAAGGGCAAGCCCGUCUUUGGCUUUGGCUUAGUGUGGCGGCGGCGGCGGCGCGGUACGGUAUGGUAUGGUGCC
Molecule: long non-coding RNA, 603 nt
Organism: Syngnathoides biaculeatus (alligator pipefish)
Lineage: Eukaryota; Metazoa; Chordata; Actinopteri; Syngnathiformes; Syngnathidae
Exons: 3
Source: RefSeq, a predicted model, not a curated record